This 402-nucleotide long non-coding RNA is filed under the name Homo sapiens (human). RNAcentral's name for it is "non-protein coding lnc-HIVEP2-1:1". The record is from RNAcentral. Lineage: Eukaryota; Metazoa; Chordata; Mammalia; Primates; Hominidae.
CAAAUACUAUUGUCUCAAUUUUGUAGAAAAAUGAAGCUCUUAGAGAUGUUAAGGGAUUGGCCAAAUCACUGUCAGGUAAAUGAGGGUGUUGGGUUUUGAUCUCUGGCCUGUCACUAGACAUCAUGACAGUAUCAGCAGACUGUCUCUCGAAGGCAUAGGACUGUCUCCUCUCUGUUGAUUUUGCACUGCACGGGACGGCCUCCUACUUACGCUGUAAACAGCUGCAUUUUAGUCUUUAGCCUUGUUAGAUCUCAUUGUCAGAAAAAUAAAUAAAGGCAAGAGGAGCCUGGGCUGGCGGUCGGGAUCUUUUCCCUCCCUCCGCGCCCGCCCUCCCUCUGUCCUUAAGGAAAUGCUACCAGACACCCCCCACCAGACACGCUCAGCCUUGGCGAGGAGCGGCCG